AAUUAAUAGGGGAGCUUAUUUAGUAGGCUGAGAGGAAGUCAUCAACUUCGACCCAUAUACCUGAUUUGGAUAAUGCCAACGUAGGAACGUAUAUAG
Molecule: non-coding RNA, 96 nt
Filed under: uncultured Agathobacter sp.
Lineage: Bacteria; Bacillati; Bacillota; Clostridia; Lachnospirales; Lachnospiraceae
Description: TPP riboswitch (THI element)
Rfam family: TPP riboswitch aptamer (THI element)
About the family: Vitamin B(1) in its active form thiamin pyrophosphate (TPP) is an essential coenzyme that is synthesised by coupling of pyrimidine and thiazole moieties in bacteria. The previously detected thiamin-regulatory element, thi box was extended, resulting in a new, highly conserved RNA secondary structure, the THI element, which is widely distributed in eubacteria and also occurs in some archaea. Analysis of operon structures identified a large number of new candidate thiamin-regulated genes, mostly transporters, in various prokaryotic organisms.
Source: RNAcentral